CCCAUCGAGGCGGAGGACGACAUGGCACCAGCGACGUCGCAGGAGCAUGCACCCGAGACGGCCAUCCAUGGCGCUAUUGUUGUCGAUCUGUCUGUCGCUGUUGUGUGCUCCGCCCCGCUGCCCUCCUCCUCUCCUAACUCUCCAUGAGCUCACGCCGAUAUGCCGUGACAUCCCACAAAACCGGCGGUGUGAGGAGGCCGUGGAUGGCGCUACUACUGCACGAUUCGUCGGUAAGUCCCCAUUUUUUCUCUGUAGGUUGGUCUAUUUGAUUCGUCUCAAGCAACACUUAAGAAGGAAAUCUCUAGCAGAAGAGGAUGCAGAGGGGGAGUUUAAGGCACACAUUAUUUCCUUUCAUCCUUCCUAUUUACUGCCUUUGAAGAUUAUUUCUAUUCCUUACCAUGCCAUAUAGUAUUGUGGAGUGGUGUUCCAUAAGAUAUGUAAUAUUUCAAGAUUAUUUAUGUUCUAAACUCUGCACUGAGAUAUACAAAUUUUUUUGGCAGCCACUGAGAUAUAUCAUGUAAUUUCACUUGGAGAGGAGAAGAGAAGCGAAGAGGAAGUGGAAGAGGAAGUGGCAGAUCUAUUUGAAUUUGGUACCCACCUAAAUGUGCAUAUGGUAUUCCCGGAAGAUGUUAUAUUGGUUGCUUGGAUUCUCUCGGAAUGAUAUUCUAUAUGUACGUAUGAGCGUCGAACAUAGGUGUACCUGUCAUAUGUAUGGAGGUUAUUUCCGUACAGCAUUUUCUUCAGAUUAAAAAUCUAAAUUAAUAUGACACUUUACAUUGUUGCUUUCUAUAAAAAAUUGUUUAUAGCUCUAUAAUAUAUAACACCGGUUGCAUAUAUUUUUCAUCUUAUACUAAAGCUUAUAUGCUCCUAUUGCGGAAAAUAAUCGAGUAUGAAGAAAAUAAUAUGACGCUGGUCUGUCCCUAAUCCCUUCUUUCAUGCCCAGGUGAGUUCAGAUGUUCUACUUCUCAUAGCUGCUUAUGAGCCAUAUUUACAGAUCUGUAAUGAUUAUGUAAUUAUAUUUUAUAUUGCCGCUUUUCAUUUUCAUUCUAGGUCAUUUGUUCAACCAAAAAAAUAUGUUGGUCUUACCUUUUAUCUAAUGAAAGUUUUUCUAAAAUUGCUAACAUUAUGCCUUAGUAUUCCUGAAGUUACGUAUAUGAUUUGCUGCGAUUUUUUUUAUCUCCCUUCGGUUAUCAUUCAUCAAAUGUUUUAAUGAAGAUGUUCAUGUUCUCGAAAGUUUUGAUCAAAAUUCAUGUGCAUGAACCAAGAUCCACAGAUUUAAACCAGUAUCGCUUUGCAUUUUCAGAAAAGUAACCAAUAUUCCUGACACAUAUGGUUGUUUGCAGUGCUUCUGUGUAUUUCUUUUAUUAUCAAUUACGCAAUAAUGAUUUUCUGAUGGUUAAUGUCUCUGCAAUUGGCCUGUUACACUUGAUUAUGUUGUUGUCCAGGGGUACUUUUCUUCGUAUACCUCUACAUUUAUUUGGAAUAUAUGCAGAUAUGUACCUCUAAAGAAGAGAUAUCUUGGUGUGAUCAUGAAAGUGAGAAGUUGAUUCAAUGCAUGUUCAUCUACCGAGGUCCUUCUGUUAGUUGGAGUUAUGGCUACUCGUUUUCGCCUUCACCGUCCUCUUGAGAGAGCCUUCAUUUCGCCAGGAUAUUAUCAACAGUCAUUAAUUGGGAUUAAUUAUUUCUCAGGUCUCUUUAGAAUGAUUUAAAGGGUUUUGGAGCUAAAGAUCAUUAGCUGCUACGAGCUAAGACUUCAUACAUAUAUACUUUUCUUUCUUCCUAGCAUCAAUAUUACAAUAAUCAUUGAUAUGUGGUCCAAACUGGAAAGGUCACAUUAUCGGAGAAGGGUAGAGAAGGAUCGGCAGAACAUGAAUGGGCUACAUGCCCAUCUAUUUUUGUGAUUCAAGAGGUGGCCGCCUCCCUAUCUACCUCUCGGAAGUGGCCGCCGUGGUACUUGAUCGUGGCCAAGCGAUUCAGCGCCGAGGUCAUCGACCUCACCAAAGAGAUCUUCUCUGACAAGCAGGGUAAUGCUACUUCAAACUGAUGCUUCUUUGUACCAUGUUUAUAUCAUCUCUUUCAUCGCUUGCGAUGAAGCAAUAGUAUAUUUAUAAUCAUUAAUUAAUCAUUCGGAGUGGUGGAAUUUCAAAUACUAUUGCUUUUCCAUUUUGUCAUUUGCAUCGUCUUUGAUAGAAGGUUGUUUCUGAAAUAAUUCUCCUGCAGACACUGCCAUCGGUCGUGAAGCCUCCUGGAUCUAGAUGUGAAGAUGGCCUUGAUCGGGAAACCAUCGUCUGACCGUGGGUCGAAAACUACGGAAGAGUUUGCUCCUCAGCCUCGGUCUGAUAAGGUUGGUCUGGCUACAGCUUGUGCUCCAGAUUCUCCGCCUACCUCAUCCACCGCGAUGGCAAACAACCCUUCAACCAAGUUGUUCUUCCGUUCUUUUUUAUAUUCGUCUGCUCGUUUCGCUGAUUAAAGAUGGACAGAAGCGUGACAUUAUUGGACCCAUCUCCUGGGACUUACUAUGUUGUAUCCUAAUAGUAACCUCGCACGCAAUGCUAUACUGCAGGCCCUUGGGCAUGUCAAACUGUCUCGAGGGAUUUGAAGCUCCAUUUAAAUUAUGCUGCGGUCAGGUUAUCAGGGAUUUUUAAAUAUUGAUGACAGUGAUUCUUCUGCUCAGAUUAUCCAAUGGUUACGUUUUAAGUUGUGUGAUUUGAUUGUUGUGGAUGCGAAGAUUAUCCAAUGCUUAUAUUGUCAACUUCAGUUGUUUCACAUUCUGGUGAUCGUCUUGAACAUACUAUUCUUUUAACUAGCUGAUGGAUCAGAUUGGAGAAUGAAUUAUGAUGGAUUUUUCUUUGUCUUGAGAAAUGCUUUAUCAUUUUGAUGUUGUUUCUUGGAACAUGAUCUGGAAUAAGUUAUGGUUUCAUUCUCCAUUUUUCCAUUUUGAUGUGAUACUCAAACUAAAAGCACGGCAAGGAAACAAUUGUAACAACACUGUCUGUUCCUGGGAUAAAGACAUUUCACGAGAUACUAUUUGGCACUCGCCUUCCAGAUGUGAAUCUGUCAUUGGUUCCUUAUACUGCUUUGUUAUUUGAAUCUUUUCCAUAAUCCUUGAUCGCUUCUUCCAACUAAUAUUUGAUGCCCCUGAUGGGUUGCUGCAGACAAUCAGAUCCAUACAAUUGGGGUUCAUAGCCUCAUCAUUCAUAAUUCAGAUAAUUCUUGGGUAUAGCAAGUUGCAGGCUUUGUGCUCUAGGUACACGGAAUCUUCACUUCUCCUUUAACUGAUAUAGAUAGUUUUCAGGUUUGCUUGCAUUCCUUUCUGGGAAGGAGUAGACUAGCAGAGGAAAAACUUGGAAGGAACAUUAGAUCAUAUUGAAGAAAUUCUCUAUCUUGCUAAGUUUAGCAAUUCUGUUUUUUUCGUAUUGACAUCUAGGCCUUAAAAAAACCCCGCCUGCAUAUGUUAUCACUUGAAGAAUUUCUGUAUCUACACUAUAACUAACUCGAGAAAAUUGUUCGUUAAAAUUACCUAAUGCAACAUUGCAUUUUUAUGGUUAUUACUACAGAUUUCAAACUGAAAAAUACCAGCCAACAAAACGCAUAAAAGACAGAGAAGCAACAUAUAGGAGCUUAUUCUAAUUUUGUAGGCCAGGAAAACCUUGAGCUGAGAGAUAGCCUUCAUGUUUGUGCUGUGUAAAAUAUAUUUGGUUGUUUUCAGUGAAGACUACAGCUGGGAGAUAACCAGACGCAGCUAAUGUAUGUCUCCAGUUCCACAAUGAUAAAUAAUUUGGCACAUGUUCUUUCCAUUGUUCCAUCCUACAGCUGGAUGCUUAUGUUCAUAUCAUUCUGUAUUUGUAUCAUUGAAAAACAUCCUUCUCCCAUCCUGAGAUUGAGUGGUUAUAUUCAUAUCACCUGUUAUGUUCAUAUGUCUUUCUAUCAAGGGUAAAAUAGCUUCCACUUGCCACACUUGCUAUUAGAAAAAACAUUCUUCUUCUACAUGUACUAAAUAGCUUCCACUUGCCAGUUGCUAUCUAGGAUAAACUGAAAGACGGAUUUACUGAUUUGCCUUGGUGGUUUGCUAAAUAGUGCGUUUGUUUACCCAUGAAACAGUGAUAUAUGGUGAUUUUUUCAUAACAAACUCUAUAUUUCAAUCCACACAAGACUACUGCGCAUGCCAUGAGCCUGUAAAUAGCUUCUGAAGGUCUUCUUUUACUUAUUUUUUAUGCCAGGCAACAAUGCCUACUUUAAUUAUUGGUACUUAUAAAAUUAAGAAAGUAAUGUGUACAUAGCAUAGGAAAACUGAUGUUUCUCCAAGAGGUAAAAUCCUUUUUUGUAGACAUGCUGACUUUGUACUCUGGACUGAUCUGCAAGAAGGUUUGAUCGCCCUCUUCGGCAUUCAAUGGGAGGAGCACAUGCUGCCUCCAAACCGCACCAGAGGAUGAGGCAUCGGCCGCCUUCGUAGUGAAAACGAGGACGUCAAGACAAGGAAACUCAAAGGAUAAUCAAAAUUCUUUUUAGAAUAUUACUCAAUCUUAUGCUAGAAGAACUUGGUGUUUCAAAGGAUGAAUAACAUCUUGAGCUAUGUGAGUAUUGUUCUGUUUAACGCCUCUGCGCUUCAAGCGGAAUGUUCUCCCGUGUACCCCUCGAUGUCUGUAAUAAAGUCCAAGAGCUAUGAAAACAACAUGGAUUCUGCAUGUGUAAAAUCCAUACAUUUGUUGAUCUGGCGACAAAUACAAUCAUCAUAAACUGCUUAUGUCAACUGUUCAUAAGCGUUUGCUACUCCUUUUGUGAUUUCGUUUGAUUUAUCCUAAUUUCAUCAUACGACUUUUUUCC
Molecule: long non-coding RNA, 4824 nt
Organism: Lolium rigidum
Lineage: Eukaryota; Viridiplantae; Streptophyta; Magnoliopsida; Poales; Poaceae
Exons: 14
Source: RefSeq, a predicted model, not a curated record